Molecule: long non-coding RNA, 4545 nt
Organism: Frankliniella occidentalis (western flower thrips)
Lineage: Eukaryota; Metazoa; Arthropoda; Insecta; Thysanoptera; Thripidae
Exons: 20
Source: RefSeq, a predicted model, not a curated record
UCACCUUCAAACAGCGCAGGUGCUGGCCACGCUUCGUGCUCCAUUGAGAAGUCUGUCUCCAAGAGCACAGGAUAUGCUGAAAGAAGAAUAAAGCAAUUAGUUUGUGAAAGAAGAUCUGGGAGGAUUUCAGGCAGUUCCAAACACAUGCAUUUCAUCAUUCCUUCAAAAGAGAAUAUCACCUGCUUACCUUCAAAUAGCGCAGGUGCUGGCCACCCUUCCUGCUCCAUUUGACAUGCCACCUGAGAGUCUGAAAAUUCAACAAAAGUUUAGUUGGGAAAGUGUAACCGUGGAAAUGUGUGGUGUGUGCUAUAAGCAUUUUCCAUUUGAACCCACCUUGAAUUUCAGCUCACCAGGAGAUGCUGUCUCUGGUGGAAAGCCACAGUUGUAGGGGCAGCCACAUCCGCAACCUGUCAAGAAGUGGAAAUGUUAUUUUUUGAGCAGGAGGAGCAGGAUCAUCACACUCAGAAGCUGCUCCAAAUAAAGUCAACGUGUUAUUUAAGAGAAAGGACUAUCGUAUUAAGGGAAGGCUACACUGAAAUGACCAUCCCCAUAAUAAACAGAAAAUUUUGGGGAAUGUGAUUUUUUUACUCAAGAGUUUUUAAAACUGAUUUCUGCGCAAUCAAUUUGGCCGCAGAAAUUUGGGGUAAUGUUCUCUGGAAUCAGAACGGCCCAAGGAACAAUAUUGCUUAAUCAGGAUUUUAAGAAAAACACCGGUUGCUGUUGCUGGCUGACCAGAGAGGGAACUGGCGAGAUCCAAGCUGGCCAAACAGACCUUCACAGUGGGAGCUGCACAGCUCCAAAUCUGAGCAGAGAGGAUCUGCAGGAUCUGCAUAAAUGGCUAAAAGGUCCUCCCUUAAGUCCUUGAUGGACAGAAAGUCUCUGAGCAAUUUCCAGAAGGGGGGUCUCUUGUUGGGAGACAUGCUGUUGAACUUUCGGUUGAAGCUCUCCAACCCGGAUGUUGCUUUAAUCUCGUGGCCAUGGACGGACAGCUCUUCGACGCCAACUUUAACUAUCCACUCCUUGCGGAAGUAUUUCUGAAAUUUGCGGAAUUUCUUCAACUCAGAUCCCCUCAGAUCUUUCUUCGCCUUGGCCUCGAGCAGCUGCACUCCCUUCAAGAUAUCUGUAAGGUUCUGAGACUGCCUGGCACAAAGGAAGGUCUGAGGGAAGAGAAGUCUGAAUGGUCUGCUUAUUUAAAAUAAAUAUUCAAGCUCACCCUGACGAAGUGCCAUAUGCAUCCAGUCAUCUCAGCGUUAGGAAAUGCCUUCCUGAAGGCAUUUCUUUGGGCUGGUUCCCAAUCGGAGAUGACCUUUGCCGGCGGAGCCAAGCCCUUUUCCUUCAGGAAUUCCAGAACUGCAGCAUAAGCGGGCUCAUCCAUGGCACUCAUGAGGGCCAUUGCCACUGGAAAAACCUAAAUCACAUGAAAACCAACAUGCAGUGAAAGUAAUUUGAAGCUGAAUGGACAUGGAAUGUUCCAUUUGUAAGGGAAUUCACCUCCCAGUUGACGUACCUUGCCAUGCUUAAAAGCUGACAGAAUCCAUAUUUGCUUGACGCCAUCGAUGUCUGGCGCCAUAUAAAAUGUGCCAUCGCCCGCCAGCGUGUCCUGCCUCGACAACAUUUCCAGGCCUCUUUUGGAGCAAAAGAUGACACUCUCCCUCCCUGGGCUGCCCACCACCCCUUGAAAAUAGUUCUGCAGAUCAUCAAUAGUUCUUCCUAAAACCAAAAAACAUGCUACAGUAAAUAAAAUAUAACUUUCCAUUUGUUACAGUCUCAACAACUAGUAAUUACCCAAGUAAGCAUGUUCUGGGGUGUUGAGAACAUUUCCCACAUGGCUGAGGCUGGUCAUUUUGCCUUGAGGAAGAUUCCUUCUCCUGCGAUAGCCCACCGCAUCCCGAAUGGACGCAAAGCAGACAUCGUUUUUUGUGGCCUCGUCAAGACUAUAAGAUUAAAAUUCAUAUUGAAGAGUCGUUGGCCUUGGUAGGAAGAGAUGGCUUCAAAGAGGUCAUCUAGACCCUCCUCCUCCUCUGGUUGAUGCAUGAUGACUGAGCAGCAAUCGGUCCAUGGACAGGUGCUUUCGCGCCACUUUGCGGCCCCCCCCCCUCCCCCCCUUUAUUUCUUCCCGCCGGAAGUGGCGGAAGUGGGACGACGCCAUGGUGAUGUUGACAAACAGCUGAUCAGCUGGGGUUAAUAUUGUGUGAAAGGAGUGGAGUUUAAAAACAAAAGGUCAAAACUGCCAGAUUGAUGUGAAGUUUUAUAUAGACCACAGCUAACCCAUGCCAAAGUGAGAAUUGGUGUCAAGUAGUGUGAAUGAAUGACACCUUCAUGAAUGUGGGUGUGACACUGUUUCUAGAUCUGGAAGAUUACCAGUGUGGCUGUUUGUGUUGAAUCUCUCACAAAGUGUUACGGAUCUCAACUCAUCUCCAGAACUAGAUCCCCAGCAAAAUCAGACUUUCGAAGCUGGAUGCCUUCGUUUUGAUGGCUGGGCUAUCUGGGAAUGUGGGAUCUCAUUUCCAGAGCAAAUUCAUGGAUUCCUUAGAGAGUAAAACACAAAGGCAAGAUAGAGGAAAAUCUUCCACUACACCACUGUUCCAUCACCUCUACCCUGCAAGGGGUGCUUUUAGAUAUUUGAAGGUCAAAACCAGUUUUACCUACAACAUCCUUCAUAAAUUGGAAAUGUUGAAAAAAGUACGCCAUCAAUCAAACCCUCUGAAGGAGUCUUUCACAUCACAACUCAUGAAGUUGGUGAGCCAUGCGCCUGAUGGCUCCGAGCGCAUAGGCAUCCCGCCCGCAGACCUGCAUGCAGGCUAGCACACCCCUUCGCUCGGACGGGGCUGGACGCCCACCCUGUGGGGGGGCUCACAGGCAUCUAUCAGCGUCACGGGCGUGCUGCUCUCGACGUAGACGUGCACCUCGAGCGCUGCUCUCACGCCCGUCUACUUCAUGAACCAGUCGACAGGGUCCAGUGGUGCGCGAGCAGCGGUUGCACCGUGGUUUGGACGUACGAAGGAAAGACCUCUGACGACCCGGAUGCCACCAUGGACUCUAGAAGCAGUGUCUUUGAUCAGUGGCUUGUUUUCCUUUUAAUUAUAUGGGGUCACUACUGAAUUGGAUUCAAAUAUAAGUAAAGUCUGUCAAAGAACUUUACUUCUAGAGUCGAUUUGAAUUAUGAGAGCUAGCAGCUCAAUAAGCAAAGGCGGAAAGAGGCUGCAUGAUAUGGAUGAUAUUGAAGACACCCACAAUGGAAGAGAAAUAGUUGUGAGAGGAAAAAGAAAGUCAAAGGUAACUGAAUCUACCACUAAAAGAAUGAGGCAAGAUGAGAUUAUACCACGAGCAAUGAUAAAGAAAAUAGCAAUGUAUUACAGGAGUCAAAACUUAAAGCUUCUUUAAUCCAAAGAUAGGAGAAGUUCAAGUAAUUCCUAAACAAUCUCAUAUCAAGAUGGCAAUAAAUUUUGAUGAAAUAUCUUGGUUUUGAUGUUGCUCAACAACAAUCUCAUAUCAAGGUGAAGAAUUGCAUAUUGAAACCCAACAAAGUCUUGCCUUCACUGAGUGCUCAUCGCUUGCCUUCAACUAUUCUGAUGCUGAGGUAGUAUGUGUUCUGAAUGAUUUAUUUUUAUUCAAUCAACGGAACAUAUAGUUUGUCAACUGGCUCUAGCUUAUAUUAUUUACUUUGCUUACUUCGGUAUUAUAAAAUGUACUUUCUGUACCGCUAGGCUAGGUGUUGUAGUUAUUUGAUAAUACAAGCGUUGAUAUUCAGUAAAUUUAGUGCAGCAAAAUGUUAAGCCAAUAACUAACUUACCCUAAAUAAGUCAAUCAGGAAGCUUCAAUUGUUUUUGACAUCCAGUGCACACUUCACUUGUGAACUCUUUUCUUUCUGGGUUCACCUUCAUCAUCGAUAAUAGUUAUUGUCAAAUGUAAAAUGUUCAUAUGUUCUUGAAUGCAUAUCAAAAGAUAAUUCUGAAAAAAUGUAAAUUUUAGGUACAAAUACUAGUUAUUACAAUAUACUGUCAUCCUGAAUUUGAUGCCCCAGGUACUUAUUUUACAUAAAACUUGAAACAUUUUUCAACAUUGUUUGCCUAUGCCUAACUUCAGGUGACUCUGCUUGUAUCCCAAUUUUCAAAAGUCUUAGACAGGAGCAUUGCAUUGAAACAGUGACAAUUCAAAUCCAAGGUACUCCCGUCAGUGUAUUUUUUAUAGUUCAAAUUUUAACUAACACCAUGUGUGUUUUAGUAAAAUUUAAAAUUCAUCUCUUUACAAACAUUUCAGUUAAAAUUUGGUCUCGGAUAACUAAAAUGUAUCCCGUUAUUAUUCCUGUUCUGUGUUUUAUCUGGUGUGGAUUUAUCUUUAAAGUCUUAGGGUCCUAAUUGCUCUGUAAAAAUGUAACACAACUUACUUUUAUUUUUGAAUUAAGACAUCUUCAGCAAAAAUGCUUGGCUAAUCAUGGAAAGUCAACACUUUCUUCUGAACAAUAAAGAAAUUUGUAACUUUAAAAGUAAAGUCUUCAGGAUUCUGUACACCUAUUUCGAUUGGAUUUUGUGUAUAAACACAGUC